RNAcentral lists this transfer RNA (72 nucleotides) under Camelus bactrianus (Bactrian camel). It matches the Rfam family "tRNA". Rfam says of the family: Transfer RNA (tRNA) molecules are approximately 80 nucleotides in length. The record is from Rfam by way of RNAcentral. RNAcentral also lists the same sequence under 2 other names. Lineage: Eukaryota; Metazoa; Chordata; Mammalia; Artiodactyla; Camelidae.
GAGGGUAUAGCUCAUUGGUAGAGCACAUGCUUAGCAUGCACAAGGUCCUGGGUUCAAUCCCCAGUACCUUUG